This 235-nucleotide unclassified non-coding RNA is filed under the name Hevea brasiliensis (rubber tree). Lineage: Eukaryota; Viridiplantae; Streptophyta; Magnoliopsida; Malpighiales; Euphorbiaceae. The record is from RNAcentral.
GUCAAUUUCUUAUGAAAGCCAGUUUGAUGACAUUGAAAGUGAAAGCGACAGUUUUAUGGAUGCACUUAACACCAUUGAGUCAGAGUCUGAAACUGAUUUGGAUUGCCAAAGAAAACGAGCAAUGGAGCUGGAGUCUAGUUUGAAGACUGAAUCAUCCUUGAAUGGAACCCAUGUAAAUAGUGCAGAACUUUCUGAUCGGAAUUUGUCUACUCCUAUACCCGAGGCUGCAGCCAGA